UACGUAGGGGGCAAGCGUUAUCCGGAAUUAUUGGGCGUAAAGAGUGCGUAGGUGGUUACCUAAGCGCAGGGUAUAAGGCAAUGGCUCAACCAUUGUUCGCCCUGCGAACUGGGCUACUUGAGUGCAGGAGAGGAAAGCGGAAUUCCUAGUGUAGCGGUGAAAUGCGUAGAUAUUAGGAGGAACACCAGUGGCGAAGGCGGCUUUCUGGACUGUAACUGACACUGAGGCACGAAAGCGUGGGGAGCAAACAGG
This 252-nucleotide ribosomal RNA is filed under the name Ihubacter massiliensis. RNAcentral's name for it is "partial 16S ribosomal RNA". It matches the Rfam family "Bacterial small subunit ribosomal RNA", at positions 524 to 776 of the family's 1533-position model. Lineage: Bacteria; Bacillati; Bacillota; Clostridia; Peptostreptococcales; Anaerovoracaceae. The record is from RNAcentral.